UUCCAAAACACACUUGUGCAAACUCGGCCGGAAAUGUGAAAACUAUUGUUCAAAUACUUGCCGAUGAGGUUUUUUUUUGCGAUGAAACUGAAAACACUGCUGUUCCGGUUGCUUCUCAGCGUGUUGUCGUUGAUAGUGUUCAACGAGUUCGUGCUGUACUACGUGGUGCUCUUGAAGUGUCAAUGGCCUACCAAACCCGUACCGGUGAAUGGACUGGAACCGGUGAAUGUGAUGCUGUUGGCCGAUACGCACCUACUCGGACCCAUCCGUGGCCACUGGUUCGAUAAGUUGCGGCGCGAAUGGCAGAUGCACCGUACAUUCCAGUCCGCUAUUACGCUCUUCCAGCCCGAGGUCAUCUUCAUCCUUGGCGAUGUGUUCGACGAAGGGAACUGGGUGAACCAGAAAGAGUUUGAACACUACAUGGAACGCUAUCGGAAGCUGUUCCACACUCCACGCGGCAUCGCAUUGCACAGCAUCGCAGGAAACCACGACAUUGGCUUCCACUAUGCCACACGGCCCAAUCUGGUGCAACGGUUUGCCGAUCAGUUCAACAACACCGGCGUUUCGUUGAUCAGUGUACGAGGCGUUAACUUUGUUGCGAUCAAUUCCAUCGCCAUGGAAGGCGAUGGUUGCUAUCUGUGCGAAAAGGCCGAGAAAGAGCUGAAAACGAUCGAGACCAUAUUCAAGUGUGGUCGUGGAAUCGGGCAGUGCAAGGAUGUACCGAAGCUGGAGGAGUACAGUCGGCCCGUGCUGUUGCAACACUUUCCCAUGUACCGGGAGUCGGACAAGGAAUGCCAGGAGCACGAUGCACCGACCAUCCAGCUGUUUCGUGAGCGGUGGGAAGUGCUGUCGAAGGAAUCGACCGAUCUGAUCGGUGAUUUGCUCAAUCCACGGCUGGCAUUCAGUGGCCAUUCGCAUCAUUACUGUCACAUGGUACAAAAUCGGUUGAAAAUUGAAGAGUACACCCUGCCCUCCUUUAGCUGGCGCAACAAAAACGAUCCCAGCUUCAUUCUGGCACGCAUAUCACUCAAGGAGCACACCAUCGCUCGGUGUCGGAUGCCGGAGGAGAAUACCGUCGUCACCAUUUACCUCGUCGGUGGCAUUCUCAUACUGCUCGUGUUCACGCUCAAGUUGAGCGGAUUUGUGGGCCAACUGUGGUCCUAUCGACGGGGCGAUCGUCGAGAUUAUAAGAAACUUACCAAAUAACCCAUCGACUUCACCGGCUUAAUCGAGCAUCGAGUCGUGUUGUCUCAUAGUUUUAACUUCAAAGUCAGAACACAUGAGGAGGAGAUACGAAACCUGCAGCUCCAACCGUAAAUGUUUGAAUAACCAAAUAAGUCCUUUGAAGGACCUAUACCAC
This is an RNA transcript of Anopheles aquasalis, 1360 nucleotides long. It is a transcript of the gene named Per1-like protein PGAP5, with no coding region annotated. The record is from RefSeq and is a predicted model, not a curated record. NCBI's taxonomy places the organism in Eukaryota, Metazoa, Arthropoda, Insecta, Diptera, Culicidae.